GUAUUGUUUUCCUGCCGCACAGACUCUCUUCUCCACACCGACUCCACCACCUUCGUGCUUCAUCCUCUGUGAGAAGUUUAACAGAAAAAAAGUGGCUAGCAAUGGUGAGCCAUCUUUCUAAUUAUUGGAAGCUUUGUUUUCGUUUCUGCAGGAAUUUGGUGUUAAUACAGAGCAACGAUUUUUUUGUUAUAUGGACCUCCUGGUUGUGGUAAAACUCUAAUUGCCAAGGCUAUAUAACAAAUGGAUUCUUUUUUUUAAUUAGGAACAGGGGCUUAUCAAGAAUUAGUUGAAUGUUGAAGACUUGAGUAAAGUUUUGAAUUCGAAGAGAAGUGUUGGUGGAAUUGAUAUUGAUGAAGCUGAUGUUGCAGUUGUAGUUGAAGCUGGAGUUAGUGUCGGUGGUGACUGAAAUGAAAUAGGAACCUGCAAGUGGAGUUAUGGCUUAGUUCUGGUGUAGUGAGAGUCAGGGAGAGAAUGAAAAUACAGAUGGGUUGAUUCUGGAAGCAGCUAGGUGUCAUUGAAGUUGCAGGAUGGAUUACUGUUGGAGCUGGUGGUACAAAUGGUGCGUGGAACUUGAAAGAUGAUUGCCGUAACACUUUGCUUGCUGUAGUUAUUGAAGAAGCUGAUCUUCCUAUUAUCUGGUGCAGAUUGUAGAAUUUUGCAACCGGAUUGUAAAGGUACUCUGUUAUGGAGACAAUCCGUCCAUCCAUCCUUAGCUGCUAGAAAUUGGAAGCAUUUGAAGGGUGCGUGUGCAAUGUAUGAUUUUUGAUGAAAAGUAGGUUUAAAAUUCAGGUGAUAAAUAAAUGUUGCUUAUGCAAUUGUGCCGAGGAAUCCCUGGAACAUCUUUUGUGGUACUGCGAUUUUUCAGCGAGGACUUGGAGGUGGAAUUUGGACAAUUUUGGUUUGCAAUCUCAUAUAAACCUUUCUACUGCCUAUAAAUCUGCUAGAGGAAGGAGUUGUAUGGUGAAGGAAUUAUGAUUGCUAGCAGUUUUGGUGAUUAGGUCUGAACUAUGGCAGACACGUAAUAGCUUUUUAUAUAUGACAAUAAAAAGGUCUUUUGGAGUUUUUUUUCACGAAACGGGUGUUUUAAUCAGGCGAACGAGUACUCUAGAAGGCUCAAGGGUUAUAUGUAUAAUUCAGUGGAAGACCUACUGAUUUUGGAUUUUUUCAGAGUUAAAGACACAGGCAUGUCAAGGUUCUGGAGGCAGUGGAGUUUCGGUGGUAUCCUCCAUCUGAGAACAUUAAUAUUAAUAAUCUAAAACCAGUGAACAUUUAAUAUUAAUGGUACGCUUCUUUGGUUAUGGGGAAAUGUGUUGGCCUUUAGAGUUUUUUUAGUUGCAUGUGUUGAAUGGUUUUCAGAAUUUAUUCUUCAUAUACUGAAUUUCACGUUGUUUCAA
Papaver somniferum (opium poppy) is the source of this 1394-nucleotide long non-coding RNA. RefSeq lists it as uncharacterized. The transcript is spliced from 3 exons. The record is from RefSeq and is a predicted model, not a curated record. Lineage: Eukaryota; Viridiplantae; Streptophyta; Magnoliopsida; Ranunculales; Papaveraceae.